This 465-nucleotide ribosomal RNA is filed under the name Bacillus sp. R-45859. Its description in RNAcentral is "bacterial SSU rRNA". It matches the Rfam family "Bacterial small subunit ribosomal RNA", at positions 22 to 475 of the family's 1533-position model. The record is from RNAcentral. Lineage: Bacteria; Bacillati; Bacillota; Bacilli; Caryophanales; Bacillaceae.
GCUCAGGAUGAACGCUGGCGGCGUGCCUAAUACAUGCAAGUCGAGCGAAUGGAUURAGAGCUUGCUCUYAWGAAGUUAGCGGCGGACGGGUGAGUAACACGUGGGUAACCUGCCCAUAAGACUGGGAUAACUCCGGGAAACCGGGGCUAAUACCGGAUAAYAUUUUGAACUGCAUGGUUCGAAAUUGAAAGGCGGCUUCGGCUGUCACUUAUGGAUGGACCCGCGUCGCAUUAGCUAGUUGGUGAGGUAACGGCUCACCAAGGCAACGAUGCGUAGCCGACCUGAGAGGGUGAUCGGCCACACUGGGACUGAGACACGGCCCAGACUCCUACGGGAGGCAGCAGUAGGGAAUCUUCCGCAAUGGACGAAAGUCUGACGGAGCAACGCCGCGUGAGUGAUGAAGGCUUUCGGGUCGUAAAACUCUGUUGUUAGGGAAGAACAAGUGCUAGUUGAAUAAGCUGGCAC